GCCCACAUAGCUCAGUCGGUCAGAAACGCGUUCUUGGUAAGAACGAGGUCAGCAGUUCAAAUCUGCUUGUGGGCUCCA
This 78-nucleotide transfer RNA is filed under the name Chloroflexota bacterium. RNAcentral's name for it is "tRNA-Thr". It matches the Rfam family "tRNA". Rfam says of the family: Transfer RNA (tRNA) molecules are approximately 80 nucleotides in length. Their secondary structure includes four short double-helical elements and three loops (D, anti-codon, and T loops). Lineage: Bacteria; Bacillati; Chloroflexota. The record is from RNAcentral.